Long non-coding RNA from Oxyura jamaicensis (ruddy duck), 332 nucleotides. RefSeq lists it as uncharacterized. The record is from RefSeq and is a predicted model, not a curated record. Lineage: Eukaryota; Metazoa; Chordata; Aves; Anseriformes; Anatidae. The transcript has 4 exons.
AUUUAUCUGAAAGAAAAUUGUUAGGGGGGGAAUGGAGGCAGGUUCCUGUUCAGGGUGGUAGGCGAGCCCUGUCCCUGUCCCACCUCACCUUCCCAUCUACCCUUAUAUAACAGGUAUGAGGGUCUAGAACAUGACAGUCAGAACAACAAAGUAGACAAAACCCCAUCCCAGUUGGAGAGGGUGCCUAAGGCAAGGCAACCUACCCCCUGCAUUGCUACAUCAUCUGUCAAAAAAGAAAGAAGGGUUAUUGUCAUGGGGGACUCCAUUCUGAAAAGGAUAGAGGGCCUGAUAAGCUGACCGGACCCAACCCACAGGGAAGUCUGUUGCCUCCC